RNAcentral lists this non-coding RNA (29 nucleotides) under Rattus norvegicus (Norway rat). The record is from RNAcentral. Lineage: Eukaryota; Metazoa; Chordata; Mammalia; Rodentia; Muridae.
UAUCACAGGUGUGCUACACCACUACUGCC